AUCCCUAUCAGGUUCAUAGACACGAUGACUGGAUGUUCACAUGUUAGGGUGACAAGUGCCUCCUUUCAGUCUCAUUACAUCAGCGCGGGACUCAUCUGACA
Sorex araneus (European shrew) is the source of this 101-nucleotide small nucleolar RNA. The record is from Ensembl. Lineage: Eukaryota; Metazoa; Chordata; Mammalia; Eulipotyphla; Soricidae.